AACCUUCAAAUGACCCAACCAGUCUGACAUCACCAACUCCCAGGAUUCUCACACAGCUUAAAAACUCCCAGCAGCCCUGCAAAAGCAGACAGGCAGAGAAGCAGGCAACUACUAGCUGUAGUCUUUGGAUUUUUUUUAUUUACCUUUAAAUAAGUAAGAUUAAAUAAAAGCAAAGGUAGAGAUGACAUGGCACAAAGGCUGCUUCUGGGUGAUGUGUGCACAGCACCCCUUUUUCGUGUGCAUCAGCUUUUUAUAGCUGCUUCCUUUGGACAGCUGCAGAGGAGAGGAAAUCAGGAGAGGAAAUAAUGACAAACGUUGCAUGAUAUUACCCCAGACUGAGCUUGUCCAAAGAAGUCAGAAACAUCAGCCCUGUUCAGCAGAAGCCAUUUCCUCUUGAUUUCACAGAGGUUUAAGUUGGAGCUUUUGAUCUGCAGAGGUUCUGGCUCAACUCUUCUGCACAGCCUUUGGUGUCACCCCCAGAAAAAGAAUUCCUAAUCAGAGAUGUGGCUGAACAUCCACAAGACAUCUUCAAGUGACUAGGAUAUAAAACUCCCAAGUUCUUUUAAAAUUGCUACAGGUUAAUUUAGAACCAGAUUCAGCCUUACCCCUUACAUAGAGGGCAAAAGGAGCCUUUCCCUCUUGCUCAAACAGUACAAGAAGCCAAACAGAAUUUCAGCACUUGCAUUCAUGGGCAUGAAAAUGCAGGGCCUUCCGUACAAUGCUAGAGCGCAGAGCAUCCAACGGGAACUGGAGAAGGCUAAAGAGGCAGGACCAUGGCCAAAAUCCCCUAAGCCCAGAUGGCUGGUUGCACAGGCAGACAGUAAACUUCAUUGGAAAGAAUGAGGCGAGGAGAUCUAAGUGAAGUGUAAAACAAACUGAGAAUUCAAUGACACGUUGACAAAUACCACUCCACUUUUUUCCCCCCCUAUCAGAACCUAACAGCAGAAGAAGAGAUUUCUAAAGUGGUGUUUUUACAGGCCAGGCUUAGCCUCUCUCUCAUCUUAUCAGCAGCCUUCAAAGGCCUCCAGAUGGAUCUCCUCCAGAAAAAAAUCCCCACUUAUUUUAUAUAAAUACAUUGGCUCUAUCAUGGAGGCUUUGUUAUAGCUUGAGAGGCUUUGGAAAAACACACCUGACUCUCAAAACUGUUCUCUACAUACUCCAACCCACAAGCUUAAGAGUAGACUUGAUGAAAAAUAUUUAAACUGAGACACUGAUUGGGACACAGGAAACAGGAAUAGUGGUUGCUUGAACUGCAACAUCUGAGAGGAGAGGGGAAAAGAACUUAUGGUUCAGAUUUUCAAACCCUCGGACCAUGUUUAUGCACAAGCAAAUUUGCAAGCACCAAAACCUGCACAUGUAGGUGACAGUGUUAGGAAAAUGUGCACACAGCUGUGAAAGAUGGCAUAAGGAUCCACAUAGAAUCAGGCCCUAUUUUAUUCUUAUUCCAUGUCAACAGAAGUUGUUUCUGAGGUCUCAGAUUUAAAAAAAAUAGUUUUCUAGCUUUUAGUGUAAGAAAUAUGUAUCACUGCUGGAAAAAACCCAACACUCAUAUUUGUUAUUUGCCACUCACCAUUAUCAAAUGUAACACUUUUUAAAGAGGAAAUAUAAACUAGGCUUUUUUUCUUUUAUUUGAAAUAAAAUUAUUUAAGUCUCUGCAGUAGAGUUCAAGUAUUAUUCCAGUUCAGAAAAACUCUAACUGACAACACAUGGCCAAAGGCAUAAAAGGUAGUGUACUGUCAGAACAACUCUUACUGGUGAAGUCACUGAUGCUCACAGCAGGAUACUGGCGUGCAGCAACCUCUGACAGCUGACUAACCCUUUCCUAGUUGUCUUAUUGGCCGCAAGACCCACAAUGCCCUUUUCUUCUCCUAAUACAGAACAAUUAUGAAAAUGUGCAGUACUUGUCUAAAACAACAAAAUUGUGUCCUUAGAGAGUGAUAGAACCAUCUGUUUUACAACAGGUUAAUCAGCCCUUUUAGAGCAUAAAAAAAUGGAACCACCUUCAGUGACUCUGGUCAAAUGCUAGCCAUCUGUUAAAUAUAAAAUGUAUUUUUUCAUAAAAUAUUGUCUCCAUAUAUUUGUCAUGGUCAUAACCAUGUCAUGAACUAUAUUUUAAUGCACCUUUGGCUACUUCAUCUGUACUCUUCCCACUCCACCCACUCGCCAACAGGAUUACUGCCAGUAUCUGGAAUAGACUUCCCAAGGAGGUGGUGCAGUCCCCAACCUUGAAAGCCUUCAAGAGGAGACUGGACAGACACCUUGCUGGGAUCAUUUGAUCUCAGCAGUACUCCUGCCCAGAGCUGGGGGGUUGAAUUAAUCUUUCAAGGUCCUUUCCAGCCCUUAAUAUCUAUGAUUCUAAAUCCCUGAGCUGACUGAAGUCAAUAGCACUUAAAAACUAUCUAUAAACAUAUCUUCCCUUUCCUCAAAAGAUGGGAUUUCCUUCUAAAAUCACACAGGUUCAAUGCUGCCAGCUCUCAUGACAUUGUUAAUCCCCCCCACCAACUGCCAACAUUAAGUGAUGAGGCAAAAAAAUCUCAGAUUCCAUAAAAAGACUUUCUAGCCCUCAAGCUUACAGAGAAAAGUUUGAAACCAUAUGCCCUUGCAAAUGAGAAACCAUAAAGCACACAUAAUGAACCAAGCAUUCAUUAUUUUUAAAACCUCAUGAUUUUUUAGUCAUUCACAUUAGUUUUGUAUACUUGGGGAGAGCAAUACUACAGGCCGGAGAGGCAGAACAGGACUCAUUCAGUCCUAACCCAACAGCAGAUUACGGUUACAUGUCUUGUGUUGACAUUAAGGUUUAAAAAAAGCUAUCAUUACAAAGGGGAGUUACCAAGCCUUCCAAUGGAGAAAAAACAGUACUCAGAAAUCAAACUGUCAUCAUAUAUAUAGAAAUGCUAUUGCUGAUGAUUUUUAGAUGUAGCUUCUUUGUGCUGAUAGUUUCUCAUUAUGAAAGACUCUGAUAGCAUGGUGAUGACCCUUUCUCCUUCUUUAUGCCAGCAGAAACUGGGGAUGAAUCUGGCCAUAUACAAUGUGGAAUGUAUUGUUUCCAUACAGAAGGGAGACACUAUGUGGCACAUGGACCAGAUUCUCAAUUGGCAUAAAUAUUAGCAUAAUUUCACUGAUGUCAGGAUUUAUGUCAGCUUGCACCUUCCUGUCCCUAUUUUAUUUUGUGUUAUUCCUUGUUUUUCAGUCAAAAGCAAACUCAAUUUUUAUUCUUCAAACAAAAUGAAUUACUUGGAUACAUGUUUGUAUAAACUAUCUUUUCUACACUUUAAAAAGUGCCUUUGUUUUCCUCUACAGACUUCUCACAGUUCACCUGAGGAUCCAUAAAGCACUGGAAAAACAAGGCAUUUUCUAAUUAUAUUUAUAAUAAACUAAUGUUUAGUUCCAUGCCUUAAAACUAGAAGGCUCUCCCUGGACAGAUUAACUGCUUUCUUAAUCUCAGAAACAAAUUAGAAGUAUCUGCUUAGCUGAUAGAAGUUCAGUGUAUUAAAAAAGACAGCAAUAUUUCAGGAAGGUUUUCCUCUGCAUAUUCAUUACCAAGAACAAAUUUCAGUUUUUACUAUGGGUACAGAAUUUGGUUCAAACCAUUCUUAGUUGGAUAAAGUCAUCACUGAAUUCACUAGGAAGUUGGCCUGUAAAAUGGUAAGGACUAUAGGACUGAGUAUUAUUUAUAGCAUGUUAAAAAUAUCAUUUCACAUAAAUGUCAGCAUGUACCUAUCAAAUCUUUACAUUCUUCAUUAAACUAAUGCUUCCUAACAUAAUGAAGAAAAGGCUACAAAAUGUAAGUGUAUUGUAAUGUUCUUGUAUUAAAGUAGAGAUAUCAAAAUAAAUUUGCAACCAUAUCAUUAUAUCAAUCUCCAGUAUUACUACAUUAGUACUAUAACCAUAAUUAACUAGCUUCAGGUCAAAUUACUAAUAAAUCUUUAGAAAUUAAAUGUAUAAUUUGUCAAGACCAUAUGCCUUCACAAAUUGAUUAUUCAGAAUUUAGAAGCUUUUUAAUUAGGAAGAAAUGUAUGCAAUACUGUGUGUAAUAAUUACGAAUCAGCUGUUCUGUAAUAUUUUUGUACAUCAGCAAAAAUUAAAAUAUUGGAAAACAUUA
Molecule: long non-coding RNA, 4102 nt
Organism: Alligator mississippiensis (American alligator)
Lineage: Eukaryota; Metazoa; Chordata; Crocodylia; Alligatoridae
Exons: 2
Source: RefSeq, a predicted model, not a curated record